RNAcentral lists this ribosomal RNA (429 nucleotides) under Bacteroidota bacterium. RNAcentral describes it as "Bacteroidetes bacterium partial 16S ribosomal RNA". It matches the Rfam family "Bacterial small subunit ribosomal RNA", at positions 355 to 776 of the family's 1533-position model. The record is from RNAcentral. Lineage: Bacteria; Pseudomonadati; Bacteroidota.
UAGGGAAUCUUCCGCAAUGGACGCAAGUCUGACGGAGCAACGCCGCGUGAGUGAAGAAGGAUUUCGGUUCGUAAAACUCUGUUGUUAGAGAAGAACAGCGCAUAGAGUAACUGUUAUGCGUGUGACGGUAUCUAACCAGAAAGCCACGGCUAACUACGUGCCAGCAGCCGCGGUAAUACGUAGGUGUCAAGCGUUGUCCGGAGUUAUUGGGCGUAAAGCGAGCGCAGGCGGUCAAUUAAGUCUGAUGUGAAAGCCCCCGGCUCAACCGGGGAGGGUCAUUGGAAACUGGUUGACGUGAGUGCAGAAGAGGAGAGUGGAAUUCCAUGUGUAGCGGUGAAAUGCGUAGAUAUAUGGGGGAACACCAGUGGAGAAGGCGACUCUCUGGUCUGUAACUGACGCUGAGGCUCGAAAGCGUGGGUAGCAAACAGG